RNAcentral lists this ribosomal RNA (206 nucleotides) under uncultured bacterium. Its description in RNAcentral is "partial 16S ribosomal RNA". It matches the Rfam family "Bacterial small subunit ribosomal RNA", at positions 1297 to 1500 of the family's 1533-position model. The record is from RNAcentral.
AUUGCAGGCUGCAACUCGCCUGCAUGAAGUUGGAAUUGCUAGUAAUCGCGAAUCAGAAUGUCGCGGUGAAUACGUUCCCGGGCCUUGUACACACCGCCCGUCACACCAUGAGAGUCGAUAACACCCGAAGCCUGUGAGCUAACCGCAAGGGGGCAGCAGUCGAAGGUGGGGGUUGAUGAUUGGGGGUGAAGUCGUAACAAGGUAAC